RNAcentral lists this small RNA (566 nucleotides) under Histoplasma capsulatum var. duboisii H88. Its description in RNAcentral is "Histoplasma capsulatum H88 hypothetical RNA". Lineage: Eukaryota; Fungi; Ascomycota; Eurotiomycetes; Onygenales; Ajellomycetaceae. The record is from RNAcentral.
UCAUUGAUCUUGCACUUGCCAAAAGCCCCCUUGCGUUGCUUCCAGUAUCACGGGCCUGUUACCGAUUUUAUCCCCUGCCAUCAAGUGCUUCUCCAAGCCCAGACACCAUGACUAGCAGAUAUACAUCACUCCAUCAGGUCACUGCAAUAGUGCUAUAAUUAUAGUUUGGUUUGCCAUUUUUAUUUGACUAUUCAAGCUAUCGGCAAAUGUCUAGUCACAACAUAGCACACCGCCAAAUAAGUAUAUAAACACCAGUGGUUCACAUUUGUGCUUUUCGCAGCAGGCUCUUCAGGUAGCCAAUUGAGUAUGGAUAGGUCUGUUGCCGACAAGAAUAUUUCUGCUACACCGCACGAAACCAGGAUUUCUCUUUUGUUGUGACUGGGCCAUGUGAAAGAGCUUUCUGGGGAGGAACACCCAAUGAAAUGAUUUUCAGUGAUUCUGUUGCUUGAAUUGUAUUUUCUUCUUCACUUUCAACUGUAUCAAGGCAGGAGGCAGUCUGCAACAGGCAGCCUAGGAGCCUGCCUAUAUGUAAUCCGUAGAACCAACGAAGGUUCGUGACACCACCC